GGCCGUCUGGCGCAAUGGUAGCGCGUAGCCCUCCUAUUUGAGAUGCAAGGCUAAGGUUGUGGGUUCGAGUCCCACGGUGGUCG
Molecule: non-coding RNA, 83 nt
Organism: Melanomma pulvis-pyrius CBS 109.77
Lineage: Eukaryota; Fungi; Ascomycota; Dothideomycetes; Pleosporales; Melanommataceae
Source: the annotation of a GenBank genome assembly